RNAcentral lists this ribosomal RNA (254 nucleotides) under uncultured bacterium. RNAcentral's name for it is "partial 16S ribosomal RNA". It matches the Rfam family "Bacterial small subunit ribosomal RNA", at positions 524 to 776 of the family's 1533-position model. The record is from RNAcentral.
CACGUAGGGACCAAGCGUUGUCCGGAUUUAUUGGGCGUAAAGAGCUCGUAGGCGGUUCGGUAAGUCGGGUGUGAAAACUCUGGGCUCAACCCGGAGAGGCCACCUGAUUCUGCCGUGACUUGAGUCCGGUAGGGGAGCACGGAAUUCCUGGUGUAGCGGUGAAAUGCGCAGAUAUCAGGAGGAACACCGGUGGCGAAGGCGGUGCUCUGGGCCGGUACUGACGCUGAGGAGCGAAAGCGUGGGUAGCAAACAGG